UAGAGACCGUUAGGCAGAUGGGAAAAGCCUGCAGAAAAUGGGAAACAGAAGAGGGAAACAUGUUUCAUCCCAAGCGGCACACUGCCUUGGAACGAGCCCCGCAGGAGCACAGACUGUUGUGGCUGUCGGUCCCUCGCGCGCCAGGAGCGCCGGCGGAGGGGACGCACACGGCAACAACACACACCACACACAGCCCACCGCGAGGAGCACUGCUCAGAGACCCCCCCUUUGGGUACUGAUCCCCCACUGCUGGUCCCCCAGCUCACCCCAGGCACCUCUGCAGGGCUCCAACCUUGCAGCAAAUGGAGCAUGCUGCUACCCAAGCAGAGCCUUAACCUGGAACUAAACAACCAAACCACCUGGCUGAUAAGGUGUUUUAUCACAAGCACAGCAACCUGUGGGUGAGGACACUCCCCAACGUACUUCCAGAGCAGUGAUAAGACCCUCUUGCCAACACAGAUUUGCCAGCGCAGCCCAUCCCAGCUGCAGGUGGCCAUGACUGGGUAUGGGCUUUGGGAAAACACGAGAGCAUCCUUCAGAGCAGCUCACACAAAGCACUGUUUCUUGCAUCCAAACCCAGCAUCUUAUCCCAGAGGAAGGCAAAAAAGAGCUCAAAACAUGACACCCAUCUAUGAGCUGAUAUGAAAGCAGCAUGUCCCCAAGGCCCUGCUGCCAGCAGUCUGGAUGAUGUCCUCGAUACUCGGCCCCCCAGCAACAUCCUCAUGCAAAUCACCAUCAUCAGCGCCUUCCUCAGUGAAUACAAUCACCAUAAUAGUGGUAAUAACACAUGCUCUUGGCUACAGGCAGCAAUUCCUCUCCAACACUGCCACCAAACGACACCCGUGCAACACUACAAACUCUAACCCCUGCCAGAACCAGCAUCCCAGUCAGUGCCAUCAUUUAAAAACUGAGUAAAAGCCAUCAAGAGAGUCUGAAGGAGCCCUCUGCCACCCUCCUCCCUUCCCCUCAGCCGUCAUUAGCAACCAACUUCCCCAAAAUUCAACGAUCCCACUGAAAGCAACAAGGCAACAACUUUUGUCAGGAGUCCAACAUCCGACCGGAUCAAAACAACAUCACACCAAAACCCAAGGGGAGACAUAGAAGUUCAGUCCCCGAAGCUGCACGUGGAGCACCAUCUGCGAGAGCUAGUCAAUAUUUCACAUUAUUUAGACAGCCAGGAUCUCUUUCGCGUACAUAUUUGCAUCCCGGCAUAUGUGCUUCACCGACGCGGUGCUCCGCACAGCUCCUGGCCCAGAUCCAUCGCCCAACAGAUCCCAGCGGCACCACCCGCACACGCCAACCCUCCAGGGGCAGGACCAGGGGAGCCACUGUGCCCACGAAGUUCAACCCUGAGCCCGUUCCCAGCAGGAAAAUCUUGCUAUUUAAUCUUGCGCACGGUGCUGUAACAGUGUGUGCACGCAUGUCCGCACCACUGCAUGGUAACCCCAAAACCUGCACAGUGAAGCAGUUCCAAACACCUUUUCUUACUCCCGGAGCUGGAGAGAGCUGGGUAGAACCCAGAAGUGUUCAGCCUGGCUUAGCUGUGAGCAGCGCCGCUCCACAGCGUGUUUGCCUCGUCCGUGCCACCGUCGCCGCACGGCUCCGGCACAGCUGGGCUGGCAGUGAGCCAGCAUCUGGAGCAGGAGCGACACAUUUCCCAGGGAACGCGAGUCCCAUCUGGCAGAGCACAUGGUUGCAGCAUGGCAAACCCCCUGGAGCACCCCAUGCCACACGAGCCCUGCGGCCCCAGCCGCAGACGUCCCCACAGGAGCCCCUUCUCCCAGCCAGACCUCGGUCCCAGCUGCAGCUGCUCCAACAGGCGGGAACACCAGCAUGGAGAUCACAGCGAGACACAUCCCAUGCUGCAGAUACCACUGAGCACAGAUGCCCAUGGCAUGUCCCCACUUGCACAUCGUGCAAGAACAUGGAGCCACCUGCAGAGCUCCAGGGAGGGGACACAAUCCAGCCCUGCCAUCCAGCACCAGGACACCUGCACAUGGCUUAAGCUACUGGUACCUAAAGAGGCAUUUUGGUACCAGUUACAUCUGUGGUCUUACUGGGGCAACCCCCUGCUUAUCCCAUCUUAUUCUGCCCAGUAAUAACACAGGGUCAGUCCCAGCCCCAAAUGUUCUGGGGUUUCCUCCACAAUCAGCAUUAUCACAUCCCACUACAGUGACCCAGUCUCAGCACGGAGCUGCAGGAGCAGGAGGAGGAAUGGGAAGUGUCCAAGAUGGGGACAGGUUCAGAUGGACAUGCUGGAGACCCUGCAGGGCAGUGUCACCGUGACAGCUGGGGAAACAGCUGUAGAACUGAGUUGAUGCCACCAGCCCAGCCCCAAAACCACCUCCCAUCAGGCAGCCCUUCCCAGGGACUCCCACAAGUCCACGGCAGCAGCGCUGCUUCUUGGAGACGCAUAAGCCCAGCACAGGAGCUCAAAGCACAUCCCAAAGCUUUGCAGGUGGAGAAACUGAGGCGCAGGCAGGUGCAAUGACUUGCCUGCAUCACCAAGCUGGCCAGCAGCAAAACCAGAACACUACCUGAACCUCAGCCUCAAGUCUACCAGUGACGCUGUUUUCCCUUGCUAAGUGCCCAGAGAAGCUGUCCAGGUUGUAUUUACCUGGCUUGUUCCCUGCCAGGAACCAGAGCUGGAGCAGGGAUCCAAGCUACAGUCUUCCUGGGGAUGAACCCAAUGCAAAUCCAACCCCGAGGCACUGCCAGAGCAUCCCUUCCUCCUUACAGCCCUCCAGCAGCUCCUGAAACCUGCUGCCCCGCUCCCCUGGGCAGGACCUGGAGGAGAAGCUGCUCCUCCAUGCGCCGAGGAGCUGCACUCGCAGGAGGCGGCCGCGGGCAAGUCACUCCCUCCUUGGAUCUCCGUGCCAGAAAGCGAUGCCAAGGGGAGAAACUCUACCGCAGUGAGCAACUCACAGCUCACCCCAACCAUGGGCUUCUGCCAGGAGAAAGGGAGGGGAAAAGGGGAAACCACAACCAUCUCCAUCCGCCCGGGGCCAGAGUGUUUGCUGAACCAGCGCAAGAUCUGUUUUGCCCAGGGACACGCCGACAGGUCUCGGCAGGCUGAGCCACGCUCCUCCAGCCAACUGCUUGCCCAGAGGCGGGCUGGCACCACGGUGCAAGGCAGGGAGGUGCGAGUUGGCAGCACUGCCAGCCCCAGACUGGUUUUGCCCCCCUUUCCUGCCAAGUUACACCACGCCAAACGCGUGCGUGUGCCCAUCAGCACGGCCUCUGACCGCCUGGGGAAGGCACCAUCAACACUUAUGCCAGCAUGGGCACACAAGACCCAAAGCAGGCCAGCUCUGAGGGUAAAAGGAUUUAAGCACAGAGGUCGUCCCUCAAGCCACCUUAAUCCUGCAGCCAGGUGACAGCCAGCAGCCAAAAUGCAACCCCUGUGAUGCUGCAGCAGGUACAGAGGAUUGGCACACCUGUCCUCCUCCUUCCCAGCUCCAAGGUGACAAAACAUCCCUGUUUUGCACAACCGAGACAUAAAUCAUGAAGGGCUGUUAUUAAAGGAACUUGGCGGGUGCAGAUGUGUCAGCCCAGUUGAAAACAUCUUCUUCAUCUUUCCCCAGUUCUCCAAAACGGCACGAGUUUGGGGGGAAGAGGUACAGCCGGGGGACUCACCACCAGGAGGGGAUGUGACCGAUGAGGAGAUGAGAUACCAGCAACCGCACAAACCACACACCAAACGUCUGGAGGCCGGAGGUUGUGCUGGGGGAAGUGGGAGGGAAACAGGCCCCACGUGCUCAGCCCGCUUGGGGUUUGCCAAAGUUCCCCAUGAGGAGGGAGCCAACAGAAAGCAUCCCCUGGCAGAGGUUCUAAACCUGUGGACUCUCUCCAACUUGGUCACCCCAGACCCCAGGCCUGAAAUUCAGUCCCAGCUGGACAAGUCGGUCAAGUCUGUGUUUUGAAAGAGCCAGGCAGGAGGGGGACAUGCUGGAGGUGACACGCUGGAGCUGAACACACCUCCCCUGCAUACACAGCUGCAGCCAGUGAGCCAGGCUACAUGUCUGAUGUGACGUGGGUGUGUGCCAGUGCUGGGAAAACUGCUCCAUCUCAUUACACAUGCAGGUGAUCAGCUGGCACCUUCAUGGCAUCCCCAUGCUGCCCUCCACACUGGCUGCCAACCUGGUGUAGAGGUACAGCUCACUUGAACACCUGUGAAGGGUCAAGGACAGUAAGUGGGAGCAACAUGGUGACACCACUCAAUGGGGAAUUCACAUUCCCGGUCAGGCUCCUUGUUUUCCAAACCAGCCAGAAGCACCAAUGCACCAGGGAGAAGCAGCAUCCACAAAGCCUCUGCUCAUGCUCUGGGACGGGUUUCCAGUCUCUGCUGUUACAGAAUCAUAAAAGCAUUUAAGUUGGAAAAGACCUUUAAUCAGGUCCAACACAGCCCUGCUGGCCUUCAGAGGCAAGCAGGUGGCCACGUGUGAUGCUGGCUGCAAAGCACACCCUGAAGCUGAGCCCUGGCCAUGAGCCAUCCUUGCCUGAGAAGCCACAGCCCUGUCACCCGGAAGACCAGUGGCCUCCAGCACCCCGGGAGAAGUGAAGUAACUCUCCCCCAUCGGCCCCAUCUGCCCGUUACACGUUUCUGCCACUUAUGAAAUAUUUCCAACCGCAGGCAUCUCACUCCAUCCUCCCCAGGCCAUGAUGGAUGGACACACUGCCAGGAAUCAGGCUGGCACCACACAGUGCUCUGCGUCGGGCUGUGGCCGCAGAGGGGUCUGAGUUGAAAAGCUUGGCCCCUUGGACCCUUCAAUCCAAGUCCAGCAGGGCUGGGAAACACAGCAGUGAGGCUUUAGGUUUAUUUCCUUGGGGUGUUUUCCACUGUGGGCACUCAAGGGAGAUUUGCAGCCCCGCUGCAUUCAGGGUCUCAGCUGGCUUCUGGGCUCAGCGCAGAGCAGGAGCUGCAGCCGCCCUUGGCCGGGAGCACAGUCACCUCUUCCCCAGUCCAGCUCACAGUGUCUCACAGGCAGCCAACUGGGACAACAGUCCACACCACAAACAGCUGGAUAAACGCUUAUGUCCUCAUGAGUCCCGCCAGGGAGGGAGGGGAAGGGGGAGAAGUCCAAGCACAGUAAGUAUCCCUCCCACCAGCAGCAGGACGGACAUCAUACCAGCACCAGCUGCCAAUGCUCACUGUCAUCAGUGAGCCCGAUCCUCUCCCUGCAGAAACAGCAGUUUCCCAGGGAAGACUCUCUCAGGGCUCCCCCUCCAGCACACACUUCCCCAUCUCUGCCCCACGCAGGGGGCAGCUAUUCCUCAUGCACACAUUUAUGGCUACAAACAGCUGCAAGCCCAGAGUGCUGACAGUGUAAAUCUUUGCCGCCUCCUCCCCUGCCUGCCAGGGCAGCUCUAGUGACACCCGAGGCACCGGAGCCGCCUUGACUCUGUGCCACACACGAGACACCAGCGAUACGAGCCCCUGAACAAGCUGGGCUGAAACCAAAGCCCCCAGAUCAGAUGUGCCUGGACUGCAGCGGCGGCCGGUCCCCAACCCUGUCCCUGCAGCCCCAAACUGCUGCCACAACCCACCACUCCCCGCCCCAAAACCCGACCCAGCCAUAUUAACACCCCAUGUCAUGGGACUGGCAGUUGCUUCAAAGCCUUAAUUUACGGCCUCAAUUCUCUGCAUCCCCUGAAAGCCUUCAAUCCCAUCCCCGGGAUCCAGAACAGCCAGGGCAAUUUAACUCCCCAUUUAAUCUUCUAAGGGCCCUGGCGAGCUCGGAGACAGCAUCCUCCGGCGGGGGGUCCAUGCUCCCGGCCUUUGCCGGCUCGAACACCACCGCGCCGCUUUUCCCUUCAGCUGCAAAAAUCACUACCUUAAAAGCCAAGGCGAGUACUCCCUCCAGCUCAGAGCGGCUCUCUAUUGUUUCUUUUAAUUUUAUUUUAUUCCGCGUGGGAAUCUUGUGUCCAGGCUGCUUUAUUUUUAAGUGGCUCUUGCUCAAUAUUUACUAUGGCUCGCAGCUGCGUCAGCACAGGAACACCGCGCGCUCCCGCUGGGUUUCCGACCGGCCCUCCCGCAGCCACUGCCCCGUGCCGAUGCCGUGCCAUGAUUUUCCUGCCGUGUUACUUUUGCAGUGAAUCACCAGCCCCUCCUCUGCAGUCAGGGCACACCGAUGGGCAGGGUGUGACCACAGGGCAAGGGGGGGGGCAGCGGUUCCCUGCCUCCAUGGAAAUAAAUAUCAUCAGGCUGAGUGAGCCCUGCCGCUCACCUCCUCCUCACCCGGGAGCUGGAACAGCCCCAACAGCCUGGAGAUGGUGGAGGAGGAGAAAAUGGGAAGAAGUGGCUGGAAGGGCUCAAGGGACUGGUGCUCGCGCCUCCGCUCUGCCCCCGGCGUCCUGCAGACUCAGUUUCCACCACGCCACAAGUCAAAGGCAAUCCAAGGUAUAUACAAGCACAUACUGGAGACAGGUAUAUACCAGCCUAUAUUGGAGAAAGACACCCGUAAGAUCUCCCACCAGCUCCCCGUUGACACCAUCUCCACGAGGACAGUGAGAAGCCACCCAGGUGGGGACAGGAUUCCAUCCAGCAGAGGUGGCUUUUCCUCCCACUGGAGGGACCAGGAUGGAAACCAUCCCACUGGGACUCUUGACAUGAUGCACAUCCAGGCCACACAGCCUGAAACAUGGAAUCUGGGAAGCACCGAUCCAGUCCCACAUUAAUCCUGAUGCUCAAACCAGUGCCAACGCUCCUGGGUCACUGCCUGCUACUACAGCAGAAGCUUCUCCCACGUGCCCCCAGCCUGAAAUCCACCACGUCAGAUGUCUCUCCUUUUCCACUGGCAUAAUUAAACCUGACACGCCAACGGGGGUCCACUGAAA
Molecule: long non-coding RNA, 6837 nt
Organism: Neopelma chrysocephalum (saffron-crested tyrant-manakin)
Lineage: Eukaryota; Metazoa; Chordata; Aves; Passeriformes; Pipridae
Exons: 2
Source: RefSeq, a predicted model, not a curated record